RNAcentral lists this ribosomal RNA (960 nucleotides) under Triticum aestivum (bread wheat). RNAcentral's name for it is "partial small subunit ribosomal RNA". The record is from RNAcentral. Lineage: Eukaryota; Viridiplantae; Streptophyta; Magnoliopsida; Poales; Poaceae.
AUGUCCGCCGCCGCCGCCGCCCGAGGUCUCAAAUCCGUCGCCCGCGCCGCCUUCUCCUGGAAGCCGACGGGCCGGGCGCAGCAGACGCUCGCGGCGGCGGUGAGCAGGUCGGGCGUGGGGCUCCACUCGGGCGCGCGCGCCACCGCCACGCUGCUCCCUGCGCGCGCCGGCGAGGGGAGGUACUUCGUCGUGGAGGAGGCGAGGGUGGCGGCGGAGGUGGGGAAUGCCGAGCCACAGUCCCCGCUCUGCACCACGCUGCGGAGCGGGAGCGGCGGCGCGCGGGUGCGCACGGUGGAGCACCUGCUCUCGGCCAUGGAGGCGCUCGGCGUGGACAACUGCCGCGUCGAGGUCAGCGGCGGCGAUGAGAUCCCUUUGCUUGAUGGAUCAGCGCAAGAGUGGGUGGAGGCCAUCCGGGGUGCAGGUCUGUGUGCGGCCGAGGAUAUCGGUGGACAAAAGUUGGAGAAACUGGCACCCAAAAUUGACGAGCCUGUUUACCUGCGGAAGGACGAUUGCUUUGUAGCUGCAUUCCCUUCCUCGCAAAUCCACAUCACAUAUGGAAUUGAUUUUCCAAAGGCGCCAGCGAUUGGUUGUCAAUGGUUCAAUACUUUCCUGGAUGCUGAUAUAUACUCAAGCAAGAUAGCUCCUGCAAGAACUUUCUGUAUUUUUGAAGAGGUUGAAAAAAUGCGUGGUGCCGGGCUUAUAAAAGGAGGAUCACUGGAAAAUGCUAUGGUUUGCAGUAUGUCUGGUGGUUGGCUUAAUCCACCACUUCGUUUUGAUGAUGAACCUUGCCGCCACAAGAUUUUAGAUCUUAUAGGUGACUUCUCACUUCUUGCACGAAAUGGCAGCCAGGGUUUUCCAAUUGCUCAUGUAGUUGCCUACAAGGCUGGCCAUGCCCUGCACACCAGUUUCCUACACCAUUUAUCGGGGGAGACCAGUGUGGACCAAGGAACGCUUGCUUAA